Molecule: ribosomal RNA, 450 nt
Filed under: uncultured bacterium
Lineage: Bacteria
Description: partial 16S ribosomal RNA
Rfam family: Bacterial small subunit ribosomal RNA
Source: RNAcentral
AGCGAGCAUUGGCGGUAGGCUUAACACAUGCAAGUCGAGCGAGGCGUAAUAGUCGAGCGGCGAACGGGUGAGUAAUACAUGGAAAUCUACCCUGAAGUGGGGGAUAACGUCCAGAAAUGGACGCUAAUACCGCAUAAUCCAUAUUGGGAAAGCGUUGCAGCGCUUUAGGAUGAGUCCAUGGCUGAUUAGCUUGUUGGUGAGGUAACGGCUCACCAAGGCGACGAUCAGUAGCUGGUCUGAGAGGAUGACCAGCCACACUGGAACUGAGACACGGUCCAGACUCCGACGGGAGGCAGCAGUGGGGAAUCUUGCGCAAUGGGGGCAACCCUGACGCAGCCAUACCGCGUGAGUGAUGAAGGUCUUCGGAUUGUAAAGCUCUUUCGGCGGGGACGACGAUGACGGUACCCGCAAAAGAAGUCACGGCUAACUUCGUGCCAGCCGCCGCGGUAA